RNAcentral lists this long non-coding RNA (564 nucleotides) under Mytilus galloprovincialis (Mediterranean mussel). The record is from RNAcentral. Lineage: Eukaryota; Metazoa; Mollusca; Bivalvia; Mytilida; Mytilidae.
GUCAGAAGAUUUAAAAGAAAGGUAGGGAGGGUACAGCAUCAGUAAUAGAGGGCCUGUGUUUAAAGGUCUUUGUGUCCAUCACUAUUUUAGUGUGGAGACCUUUAAGUAUAAACUUUAUAAAGUUUUAACUUUAUAUUUUAAGUUACACUAGUCAGUUCGUUGUUAAACUUUAGGACGACACCUUUAUAUAUAGAAUUUUUUGUCUUACUACGAAAGGGUGUGGUUUAUGCCCAAGGAUUGCAAAAUUUCGAAGAAUGUAUCGCGCAGUCAUUAUUUGGAUGCAUCAUUCGGUAGCUAAGUAGACAUGUCGUUGGGAAGCACAAUUGUGAUACACUGACUGUGUCUGUAAAGAUUCUAUGCGCAAAAUGGCAAUAGAGUUACGUCCCUGCUAAACUGAAGUCUGUAGGUUUCAGCUCUGGAGUUCCCAGUGAAGACAUAUUUUUUUUUUUUUUUUUUUUUUUUUGGCAAACACACAUUUUUUAAGAUUUACAGUUACUAAAUAAAACAAAAGUUGAAAUCUGUAGUACAUCUUAACACAAACUCGUGUGCUUACUUAUUAUGAAC